UACGAAGGGGGCUAGCGUUGCUCGGAAUCACUGGGCGUAAAGGGCGCGUAGGCGGUAUGACAAGUCACUUGUGAAAUCUCCGGGCUUAACUCGGAACGGCCAAGUGAAACUGUCAAACUAGAGUGCAGAAGGGGCAACUGGAAUUCUCGGUGUAGCGGUGAAAUGCGUAGAUAUCGAGAGGAACACCUGCGGCGAAGGCGGGUUGCUGGGCUGAUACUGACGCUGAGGCGCGAAAGCCAGGGGAGCGAACGGG
Molecule: ribosomal RNA, 253 nt
Filed under: uncultured bacterium
Lineage: Bacteria
Description: partial 16S ribosomal RNA
Rfam family: Bacterial small subunit ribosomal RNA
Source: RNAcentral